UGGGGAAUCUUCCGCAAUGGACGAAAGUCUGACGGAGCAACGCCGCGUGAGUGAAGACGGCCUUCGGGUUGUAAAGCUCUGUUAUUCGGGAAGAACGAUUCGUUUGUGAACAAUGAACGGAAGUGACGGUACCGAAAGAGAAAGCCACGGCUAACUACGUGCCAGCAGCCGCGGUAAUACGUAGGUGGCAAGCGUUGUCCGGAAUUAUUGGGCGUAAAGAGCGCGUAGGCGGUAUGGUAAGUCUGUCUUAGAAGUGCGGGGCUUAACCCCGUGAGGGGACAGAGACUGUCAUACUGGAGUCUCGGAGAUGAACGCGGAAUUCCUAGUGUAGCGGUGAAAUGCGUAGAGAUUAGGAAGAACACCGAUGGCGAAGGCGGCUUUCUGGACGAGCACUGACGCUGAGGCGCGAAAGCGUGGGGAGCGAACAGG
This 429-nucleotide ribosomal RNA is filed under the name Fusobacteriota bacterium. Its description in RNAcentral is "Fusobacteria bacterium partial 16S ribosomal RNA". It matches the Rfam family "Bacterial small subunit ribosomal RNA", at positions 355 to 776 of the family's 1533-position model. The record is from RNAcentral. Lineage: Bacteria; Fusobacteriati; Fusobacteriota.